Picea glauca (white spruce) is the source of this 71-nucleotide non-coding RNA. The record is from Rfam. Lineage: Eukaryota; Viridiplantae; Streptophyta; Pinopsida; Pinales; Pinaceae.
GCGGGUAUGGUUGAGUGGUAAAAUUUCUCUUUGCCAAGGAGAAGAUGCGGGUUUGAUCCCCGCUACCCACC